CAGGAUUUUGGUGAUCUUUCCAAGACGAGGGAAGAUAUCUGAGCAAGUCUGACACCUUUUCCAUGCCUGUUUCCUCUGAUGCCUCCAGUGAAUUUUGAAGAAAGCUCUUUCAUCGAGGUCUUGUGUGAUUACAUGGAACCAAGAGAUCCCAACAUUAUUUCUUUAAGGAGUCGGAUGGGUUUGAAUCAAAGACUAUGAUGACAUAGAAAUCAUGCCAAAAAAAAUGUUUUGCCAAUAAUCUUGCUAUAAAGCUACAUAAAAAUGUAUUUAUACUGAUCCCAG
Molecule: long non-coding RNA, 282 nt
Organism: Jaculus jaculus (lesser Egyptian jerboa)
Lineage: Eukaryota; Metazoa; Chordata; Mammalia; Rodentia; Dipodidae
Exons: 3
Source: RefSeq, a predicted model, not a curated record